GAUGAACGCUGGCGGCGUGCCUAAUACAUGCAAGUCGAGCGAACAGAUGAGGAGCUUGCUCCUCUGACGUUAGCGGCGGACGGGUGAGUAACACGUGGAUAACCUACCUAUAAGACUGGGAUAACUACGGGAAACCGGAGCUAAUACCGGAUAAUAUAUUGAACCGCAUGGUUCAAUAGUGAAAGACGGUUUUGCUGUCACUUAUAGAUGGAUCCGCGCCGCAUUAGCUAGUUGGUAAGGUAACGGCUUACCAAGGCAACGAUGCGUAGCCGACCUGAGAGGGUGAUCGGCCACACUGGAACUGAGACGCGGUCCAGACUCCUACGGGAGGCAGCAGUAGGGAAUCUUCCGCAAUGGGCGAAAGCCUGACGGAGCAACGCCGCGUGAGUGAUGAAGGUCUUCGGAUCGUAAAACUCUGUUAUUAGGGAAGAACAAAUGUGUAAGUAACUAUGCACGUCUUGACGGUACCUAAUCAGAAAGCCACGGCUAACUACGUG
RNAcentral lists this ribosomal RNA (497 nucleotides) under uncultured bacterium. Its description in RNAcentral is "partial 16S ribosomal RNA". It matches the Rfam family "Bacterial small subunit ribosomal RNA", at positions 28 to 507 of the family's 1533-position model. The record is from RNAcentral.